CUGCUUUAUUUUUAUCGCUGCAGUGAAACUACGACCCAAAUUUACAGAAACUGUAAAAGGGAAGUUGAGGCUAGGGGCAAGAAUCCUUCAUGUGGGCGGCGUGGAAAAAGUUUUCAAGCAGAUCUUCAAAAUUUCCCAUGGUGAAAAGCUAUUAAAGACUUCUCAAUGCUAUUUAUCGACAACAACUGGACUGAUAGCAGGCCUCCUCUUUAUUUCCACUGAUAAAAUUUCCUUUUGCAGUGAGAGAUCAAUUGAACUCUCUUCUCCAUAAGGAAAACUGCUUAAAAUACAUUACAAAGUCGUAAUCCCUCUAGGCAAAAUGAAGAGAGCGAACGAAAGUGAAAAUGCAAGAAAACCAAAGCAAAAGUAUGUGCAAAUAGUUACCAAGGACAAUUUCGAGUUCUGGUUCAUGGGAUUUCUAAAUCAUCAAAAAGCUUUCAAGUAUUUGCAGCAGGCAACCUCUCAAGCUCCAUCAGGAGGUGGUAUAGAUGCAUGGAUGAUCUCUCCAUAGAAGCUACAUAUAAAAUCACUAUAAACCUGUAAAAUUUUGUAACUAUAAACUGUUUGUUUAUUAUAUGCCCCGGCAUACCCUAAUUAUGAACAUAUGUAAAUUAGCUAAACUUGCGAAGAUAGAAAGACAGUUUUGGAACGA
This is a long non-coding RNA of Olea europaea var. sylvestris, 652 nucleotides long. RefSeq lists it as uncharacterized. The record is from RefSeq and is a predicted model, not a curated record. The transcript has 2 exons. Lineage: Eukaryota; Viridiplantae; Streptophyta; Magnoliopsida; Lamiales; Oleaceae.